UUAUGAGAAGUGAUUAUCUUUGUGCCUCCAUGGCGAGCAGCACCGGCUGCAUCUGGCCGCCAGCGCAUCUUUGGAAAUUUAGAAUGAUAAAAGGAAUUGGUCAGACUACAGAAAUUGUGAUGCUGAUGAGCCGCCCUGGGCCUAACCACCGUUGGUUCUGCGUUCUUCUCUGUCCAUGGAGUUUCCUGUCGUGCAUGCGUAUGGUUGAGGUCUAGGAUGUUCGUCCACAUCUUCUACACUAAUCUUUGUCGGCUUCAUCAUGAGUUCUUGUCCCAUUGUGCUAAUGGUGAUUAUCCACUGCAUUUAACACCACGUCGUGCUGUUGAAGCUUUUCUUAAUCUGAUUAAUUGAUUAUAUCUAGCCUUACAAAGAAGAUUUAAAGAGGAUGCACACAUAUUUGGACCCAGGGGUUUUGUUGACGGACCUCACUGAAAAUAUUUGUUCUCACCUGCAGCAACGCCUAUCAGAUAUUUUUCAAAAGAAAAAGCAACUGCCUUUCAGUUAAACUAGGAAUCAUUUAAUAAUUGGAGGCUUUUAUCUACAUAUGUCGACGUAAGGGGUUAGAAGAAGCAGUUCCUGAGGGUCCUGGAGAGGGAGCUGGCUGUAACUGAGAAGAUCAAAGAGUAUUUCUUUGCAGACUUCACCCAGGUGCAGAUAGUUGACGUCUGCUUUAGGUCAGAUCAGUCCAAACAACAAGCAAUUGGUUUAUGCCCUGGGGGCGUUUUGUUUGUGUGAGAUUGUUGGUGUUGAAUUCUUAGCUGCACCAUUUCCUUUCUCCGGCAGAAUGGUGCACAAGUUGCAGUGAAUGUGUUGUUGAUGUUCUGAUGCCUUGAUGGUGUGGAGCCCCUGCUCAAUGCCAAGGCGCUGCAGAGGUCUGAUUCAGGACAGACAAAGUAGGAGACCUGCAGCCCUGCCUGGUGGCUACAACAUCCCCCAUCAACACUUAGGGCACUGUAGUGAUCUGAAAUGAAGACUUUAUUUCUGCGGGUACUGCCAGCUAUGGCCAUUGAUGCUGCGAGCAGCGAUGAUGGUGCGGCGGGGCCGAAGGUGCUGCCAGGGACAGGAAACGGUGCUGCAAGCGACAUGCGACAGUGCUGCCAAAAACGGCCAGGGAUACUACGAGAGGCAGCUGGGGGUGUUACCAGCCGUGGCCGAUUUCUGUGCGUGUGUUGAGUUGUCGGUGUGGGUUCACGCUUGUUGACCUUUUUUUCUCCAGCAGAAAGUACAAUUGGGUGGAGGAGUCAAGUGCGGAUCAGCUGGCCAUGAGAGACUCGAUUUUACUGCAGAAGGUGGAGGAAUUGGGUUUACGAUCCCCUGAAAGACGCCAUCCAUUAAUAUUGUGAGAUUGUUCCUAUUCACAACGAGACCAAUGAUGGUCAGUUAUAUGGGCGUGAAGUUUAGCUGGCUUGUUGAAAAUCAUUAUGACUGUUCUGAUGCACUCUUUUGCUCGCUUAGAGCUGAUGUUGAUCCUUAACAACUGAUGUUAUAUUUAGUGCUAAAUGAUAUGUAAUCUAAAUACAUGUUUUUU
This is a long non-coding RNA of Lolium rigidum, 1528 nucleotides long. RefSeq lists it as uncharacterized. The transcript is spliced from 6 exons. NCBI's taxonomy places the organism in Eukaryota, Viridiplantae, Streptophyta, Magnoliopsida, Poales, Poaceae. The record is from RefSeq and is a predicted model, not a curated record.